RNAcentral lists this ribosomal RNA (2900 nucleotides) under Klebsiella pneumoniae. RNAcentral's name for it is "bacterial LSU rRNA". It matches the Rfam family "Bacterial large subunit ribosomal RNA". Lineage: Bacteria; Pseudomonadati; Pseudomonadota; Gammaproteobacteria; Enterobacterales; Enterobacteriaceae. The record is from RNAcentral.
UUAAGCGACUAAGCGUACACGGUGGAUGCCCUGGCAGUCAGAGGCGAUGAAGGACGUGCUAAUCUGCGAAAAGCGUCGGUAAGGUGAUAUGAACCGUUAUAACCGGCGAUGUCCGAAUGGGGAAACCCAGUGCAAUUCGUUGCACUAUCGUUAACUGAAUACAUAGGUUAACGAGGCGAACCGGGGGAACUGAAACAUCUAAGUACCCCGAGGAAAAGAAAUCAACCGAGAUUCCCCCAGUAGCGGCGAGCGAACGGGGAGCAGCCCAGAGUCUGAAUCAGCUUGUGUGUUAGUGGAACGGUCUGGAAAGUCCGACGGUACAGGGUGAUAGUCCCGUACACCAAAAUGCACAGGCUGUGAACUCGAAGAGUAGGGCGGGACACGUGGUAUCCUGUCUGAAUAUGGGGGGACCAUCCUCCAAGGCUAAAUACUCCUGACUGACCGAUAGUGAACCAGUACCGUGAGGGAAAGGCGAAAAGAACCCCGGCGAGGGGAGUGAAAAAGAACCUGAAACCGUGUACGUACAAGCAGUGGGAGCACCUUCGGGUGUGACUGCGUACCUUUUGUAUAAUGGGUCAGCGACUUAUAUUCUGUAGCAAGGUUAACCGUAUAGGGGAGCCGCAGGGAAACCGAGUCUUAACUGGGCGUUAAGUUGCAGGGUAUAGACCCGAAACCCGGUGAUCUAGCCAUGGGCAGGUUGAAGGUUGGGUAACACUAACUGGAGGACCGAACCGACUAAUGUUGAAAAAUUAGCGGAUGACUUGUGGCUGGGGGUGAAAGGCCAAUCAAACCGGGAGAUAGCUGGUUCUCCCCGAAAGCUAUUUAGGUAGCGCCUCGUGAACUCAUCUUCGGGGGUAGAGCACUGUUUCGGCUAGGGGGUCAUCCCGACUUACCAACCCGAUGCAAACUACGAAUACCGAAGAAUGUUAUCACGGGAGACACACGGCGGGUGCUAACGUCCGUCGUGAAGAGGGAAACAACCCAGACCGCCAGCUAAGGUCCCAAAGUCAUGGUUAAGUGGGAAACGAUGUGGGAAGGCACAGACAGCCAGGAUGUUGGCUUAGAAGCAGCCAUCAUUUAAAGAAAGCGUAAUAGCUCACUGGUCGAGUCGGCCUGCGCGGAAGAUGUAACGGGGCUAAACCAUGCACCGAAGCUGCGGCAGCGACACUAUGUGUUGUUGGGUAGGGGAGCGUUCUGUAAGCCUGCGAAGGUGUGCUGUGAGGCAUGCUGGAGGUAUCAGAAGUGCGAAUGCUGACAUAAGUAACGAUAAAGCGGGUGAAAAGCCCGCUCGCCGGAAGACCAAGGGUUCCUGUCCAACGUUAAUCGGGGCAGGGUGAGUCGACCCCUAAGGCGAGGCCGAAAGGCGUAGUCGAUGGGAAACAGGUUAAUAUUCCUGUACUUGGUGUUACUGCGAAGGGGGGACGGAGAAGGCUAUGUUAGCCGGGCGACGGUUGUCCCGGUUUAAGCAUGUAGGCUGGUUGUCCAGGCAAAUCCGGAUAAUCAAGGCUGAGGUGUGAUGACGAGGCACUACGGUGCUGAAGUAACAAAUGCCCUGCUUCCAGGAAAAGCCUCUAAGCAUCAGGUAACAUCAAAUCGUACCCCAAACCGACACAGGUGGUCAGGUAGAGAAUACCAAGGCGCUUGAGAGAACUCGGGUGAAGGAACUAGGCAAAAUGGUGCCGUAACUUCGGGAGAAGGCACGCUGGUGUGUAGGUGAAGCCCCUGCGGGUGGAGCUGAGACCAGUCGAAGAUACCAGCUGGCUGCAACUGUUUAUUAAAAACACAGCACUGUGCAAACACGAAAGUGGACGUAUACGGUGUGACGCCUGCCCGGUGCCGGAAGGUUAAUUGAUGGGGUUAUCCGUAAGGAGAAGCUCUUGAUCGAAGCCCCGGUAAACGGCGGCCGUAACUAUAACGGUCCUAAGGUAGCGAAAUUCCUUGUCGGGUAAGUUCCGACCUGCACGAAUGGCGUAAUGAUGGCCAGGCUGUCUCCACCCGAGACUCAGUGAAAUUGAACUCGCUGUGAAGAUGCAGUGUACCCGCGGCAAGACGGAAAGACCCCGUGAACCUUUACUAUAGCUUGACACUGAACAUUGAGCCUUGAUGUGUAGGAUAGGUGGGAGGCUUUGAAGCGUGGACGCCAGUCUGCGUGGAGCCAACCUUGAAAUACCACCCUUUAAUGUUUGAUGUUCUAACGUUGGCCCCUUACCGGGGUUGCGGACAGUGUCUGGUGGGUAGUUUGACUGGGGCGGUCUCCUCCCAAAGCGUAACGGAGGAGCACGAAGGUUAGCUAAUCCUGGUCGGACAUCAGGAGGUUAGUGCAAUGGCAUAAGCUAGCUUGACUGCGAGCGUGACGGCGCGAGCAGGUGCGAAAGCAGGUCAUAGUGAUCCGGUGGUUCUGAAUGGAAGGGCCAUCGCUCAACGGAUAAAAGGUACUCCGGGGAUAACAGGCUGAUACCGCCCAAGAGUUCAUAUCGACGGCGGUGUUUGGCACCUCGAUGUCGGCUCAUCACAUCCUGGGGCUGAAGUAGGUCCCAAGGGUAUGGCUGUUCGCCAUUUAAAGUGGUACGCGAGCUGGGUUUAGAACGUCGUGAGACAGUUCGGUCCCUAUCUGCCGUGGGCGCUGGAGAAUUGAGGGGGGCUGCUCCUAGUACGAGAGGACCGGAGUGGACGCAUCACUGGUGUUCGGGUUGUCAUGCCAAUGGCACUGCCCGGUAGCUAAAUGCGGAAGAGAUAAGUGCUGAAAGCAUCUAAGCACGAAACUUGCCCCGAGAUGAGUUCUCCCUGAGACUUUAAGUCUCCUGAAGGAACGUUAAAGACGAUGACGUUGAUAGGCCGGGUGUGUAAGCGCAGCGAUGCGUUGAGCUAACCGGUACUAAUGAACCGUGAGGCUUAACCUU